CCUACGUGAUGCAGCAGUGAGGAAUAUUGGUCAAUGGGCGCGAGCCUGAACCAGCCAAGUCGCGUGAGGGAAGACGGUCCUAUGGAUUGUAAACCUCUUUUGUCGGGGAGCAAAAGACGCCACGCGUGGCGUUCCGAGAGUACCCGAAGAAAAAGCAUCGGCUAACUCCGUGCCAGCAGCCGCGGUAAUACGGAGGAUGCGAGCGUUAUCCGGAUUUAUUGGGUUUAAAGGGUGCGCAGGCGGAAGAUCAAGUCAGCGGUAAAAUUGAGAGGCUCAACCUCUUCGAGCCGUUGAAACUGGUUUUCUUGAGUGAGUGGGAAGUAUGCGGAAGGCGUGGUGUAGCGGUGAAAUGCAUAGAUAUCACGCAGAACUCCGAUUGCGAAGGCAGCAUACCGGCGCUCAACUGACGCUCAUGCACGAAAGUGUGGGUAUCGAACAGGAUUAGAUACCCUAGUAGUC
Molecule: ribosomal RNA, 459 nt
Filed under: uncultured bacterium
Lineage: Bacteria
Description: partial 16S ribosomal RNA
Rfam family: Bacterial small subunit ribosomal RNA
Source: RNAcentral